This 796-nucleotide unclassified non-coding RNA is filed under the name Hevea brasiliensis (rubber tree). The record is from RNAcentral. Lineage: Eukaryota; Viridiplantae; Streptophyta; Magnoliopsida; Malpighiales; Euphorbiaceae.
GACGAAUUUUACAUAUUCAUAACCUGCAUACCGCUGUUUUGUUCCUGAAAAUGCUGCAGUUUCCAGGAAUUAACGUUCUGUGCUGGUAGCGGUAGUGGUCCUUGACAAUUAGCAAUAUAAUUUAGCAAAAGAUAUGUAGUAAUUCUGAUAUUAAUUGUUCUGUUACCUCAACAACUGCUAUAUACUCUCACCAGCAUCAUCAUGUAGCCGAGUCUCCAGGACAGGUUUGUAAAAGCAGCUGGACCCCUUGUCUUUUGGACAUGGAAAAUGAAAGGAAGAUGACUUCCUUUAGGGUAUUGGGAUCAAACUAUCAACGUGAUCUUCACUUGGAAGUUUGGGAUCAUGAAGAAGAAACUUGACUCAAAAGACUGAAUAAGAAUCCAUACCAGCUGCCAGCUGAGUUAGGAUAAAGCACGUGCACACCCCCUACUCUUGAGCACCCACCAACACGCUACCAGACGAUACACAAGACUUUCAAACUCAACCAGAUCAUUCAACCGAUCGAAGGAGAUGAUUAAGAGUUUAAAAUUUAACUAAAGUGGAAUUAAUAUUACAACCGGUAAUCUUACAAGAACAGACACAAAUUCUAAAAACCAUGACCCCAAAUAGACCUCAAGUGGACAAGCAACCCCCCUACCCUGAAUCCUGAAAUGAGUAUUUUACACGGAUUCGCCAUGUUCUUGACCCAUUUUCACAUGGUGUCUGAGCCGCCCCAUCUUACAUUUAAAAUAAUCAUUAACAAACACGGCAUACAAGUUUCAAUUACCUUAAAGCCCUUGCUAGCUAGUAGCCACAU